Molecule: transfer RNA, 97 nt
Filed under: Deltaproteobacteria bacterium
Lineage: Bacteria; Pseudomonadati; Myxococcota; Myxococcia
Description: tRNA-Sec
Rfam family: Selenocysteine transfer RNA
Source: RNAcentral
GGAAGUGGGUAGGUUCUGGUGAGCCUCCUGGACUUCAAAUCCAGUGAGAGGCGUGAGUAGCGUCUCUGGUGGGUUCGAUUCCCAUGCACUUCCGCCA